CAGGGAGAGAGGUGUAGACGAGCCGGCUGUAUAUAAGCGUUCAGAACGUGGUACAGAGCAUCAUACAACCACGAGACCUCCGCGAGUCAACAUGAAAGCGUUCUUGGUUUUAGCAGCCGUUGCGGCUAUCGGCUCGGCGAGACCCGAGGCGGGAUACAGUUACAACGCGCCUGGAGGCGGUGGUCAUGGAGCAGGCAUCGGUGGAGGUCUCGGAGGGGGCCAUGG
Zerene cesonia (dogface butterfly) is the source of this 225-nucleotide long non-coding RNA. RefSeq lists it as uncharacterized. Lineage: Eukaryota; Metazoa; Arthropoda; Insecta; Lepidoptera; Pieridae. The record is from RefSeq and is a predicted model, not a curated record. The transcript has 2 exons.